UUCUGCCUCUUCUUGACUCUUUACAGUGAGCAAAUUUUUAAUGAAGGCUUGUAGUGCCUAAAUGUAGAUGCAGUUCUCAACUGAGACAUGGCUGAGUAGUGUCUUGCAGGCAAUACUUCUUGAUCUAUCAGAGUUCUGCUUUUCAUUUUUUGUAUUACCAUGAUUUGACAAUUCAUGUUCCUCUUGUGAGUCACUAUAAUGUCAAGACUCUUUCUGCUGAGCUAUUAAUGGUCAGUUAGCCAGCUGCACCCCGUCUUAUUUUUCAGACCAGAUCUCAGACACAUGAAAGCCUUGUGAAGGAUCUACUUCAGUACAUUUGAAGCUUCGCAAAUAGGUGGUGGCUGCAGAGUUGAUAUUCUACUAUCCAAGAAAUAAGUGAUAAUACCAAAGUAACUACAACCAGCAGAGAAGUCCACAGAGUCCUCAGUGUAUUCUCCUAUUUUGACACCCACCAAGACUGAUCCACUGGAGCCAGCCUGCACAUAUCUGAGCUUUCAGGGAGACAAAGAAAAACACAGGACCAUCUAAGAAGGCCAACUGUCUGUAAAAACAUUCAGCUGCUACUGUGAGUCAUUUAACUGAAAAAGGUGGAAAGAGAGGAUACCCUAAAAGAAAAUGCUUCUGUACUCAAUUAAAAGUUUCUUUAAAUUCUAAAAGCAGAUUUAUUUUUAGUUUUUAAUUUGAACAAAUGAUGUAAUCUCGCACUACUGACCAUGACUUUUGUAAAUUCUACAAUUUAUCCUACAGUUCCCAUGGUUUGUAACACCAUCAUCACAAUCCCAU
Passer domesticus (house sparrow) is the source of this 783-nucleotide long non-coding RNA. RefSeq lists it as uncharacterized. Lineage: Eukaryota; Metazoa; Chordata; Aves; Passeriformes; Passeridae. The transcript is spliced from 3 exons. The record is from RefSeq and is a predicted model, not a curated record.